Molecule: ribosomal RNA, 279 nt
Filed under: uncultured bacterium
Lineage: Bacteria
Description: partial 16S ribosomal RNA
Rfam family: Bacterial small subunit ribosomal RNA
Source: RNAcentral
UGCCAGCAGCCGCGGUAAUACGAGGGGACCUAGCGUAGUUCGGAAUUACUGGGCUUAAAGAGUUCGUAGGUGGUUGAAAAAGUUGGUGGUGAAAUCCCAGAGCUUAACUCCGGAACUGCCAUCAAAACUUUUUAGCUAGAGUAUGAUAGAGGAAAGCAGAAUUUCUAGCGUAGAGGUGAAAUUCGUAGAUAUUAGAAAGAAUACCGAUUGCGAAGGCAGCUUUCAGGAUCAUUACUGACGCUGAGGAACGAAAGCAUGGGUAGCGAAGAGGAUUAGAUA